AUUGAACGCUGGCGGCAUGGCUAAAGCAUGCAAGUCGAACGUGCCCGGCCCGCAAGGGCUGGGCAAGUGGCGGAAGGGUCAGUAAGACGAUCGAACGUACCCCGGGUGGGGAGUAGCGGCGGGAACGUGCCGGUAUACCCCACUGAUCUCUCCGGAGCAAAGGCCACCGCAAGGUGGGUGCCCGGGCUCGGCGAUCGACCUAUCAGCUAGUUGGCGAGGUAAAGGCUCACCAAGGCGAUGACGGGUAG
Molecule: ribosomal RNA, 248 nt
Filed under: uncultured bacterium
Lineage: Bacteria
Description: partial 16S ribosomal RNA
Rfam family: Bacterial small subunit ribosomal RNA
Source: RNAcentral